AAGACAGUAAGACAGUAGUGCUAAAGAA
Molecule: non-coding RNA, 28 nt
Filed under: Bombyx mori (domestic silkworm)
Lineage: Eukaryota; Metazoa; Arthropoda; Insecta; Lepidoptera; Bombycidae
Source: RNAcentral